This 450-nucleotide ribosomal RNA is filed under the name uncultured bacterium. RNAcentral's name for it is "partial 16S ribosomal RNA". It matches the Rfam family "Bacterial small subunit ribosomal RNA", at positions 354 to 796 of the family's 1533-position model. The record is from RNAcentral.
GUGGGGAAUAUUGCACAAUGGGGGAAACCCUGAUGCAGCCAUGCCGCGUGUGUGAAGAAGGCCUUCGGGUUGUAAAGCACUUUCAGCGAGGAGGAAAGGUUGAUGCCUAAUACGUAUCAACUGUGACGUUACUCGCAGAAGAAGCACCGGCUAACUCCGUGCCAGCAGCCGCGGUAAUACGGAGGGUGCAAGCGUUAAUCGGAAUUACUGGGCGUAAAGCGCACGCAGGCGGUUGGAUAAGUUAGAUGUGAAAGCCCCGGGCUCAACCUGGGAAUUGCAUUUAAAACUGUCCAGCUAGAGUCUUGUAGAGGGGGGUAGAAUUCCAGGUGUAGCGGUGAAAUGCGUAGAGAUCUGGAGGAAUACCAGUGGCGAAGGCGGCCCCCUGGACAAAGACUGACGCUCAGGUGCGAAAGCGUGGGGAGCAAACAGGAUUAGAAACCCUAGUAGUCC